CGAUUUAAAUGCAAACCAAUAAUCCUUUUCUGCCGCUAAGUCUACUUUACUUUACCUUUCUCGCUGUCGUUGAGGGGCUAAUGCAUCUUACUGUUGUUUGUUUAAGCAUGAGUUAUUGAAAUGUACAUCCCCUCUGACUACAGCGUGGUGCACAAUGCAGUUGUUUAAAGCUGUAUACUCACAUGCUGUCUGUAGAGUGAGACUUCCACAAAGGCAAACCUGAGGACACCUAAAAGGUAACAGCCACAUGUCACACCUGCAGGAUGCUGUUUUGAAGGAAGCAUCGACCUUGUCGCCACCUUGACGGGUCACAGGCAGGAGGAGGCGGCGAGGACUGGGAGGAGAGGUGGCCAACGGGCGCUGCGGUGGGAACCCAGCCAGAAAGGGGAACAACACAGUCGCACACACACACACAUCAGACACACGUAUGCAUGUCGGUGUGAGCUAGAAUGGCACACACACACACACACACACACACACGCGCACACCAGCAGAGGCACACAAAAGCACGUAAACACACACCGCCCCAGGUGGCAGAUGCUGGCAUACAGCGCCUUACCUGAUGAUGCUGUAUGCAUCAACGAGCACAUCCAAAAUAAUGCAAUGUUUACCCA
Molecule: long non-coding RNA, 614 nt
Organism: Gasterosteus aculeatus aculeatus (three-spined stickleback)
Lineage: Eukaryota; Metazoa; Chordata; Actinopteri; Perciformes; Gasterosteidae
Source: Ensembl